This 549-nucleotide ribosomal RNA is filed under the name uncultured bacterium. RNAcentral's name for it is "bacterial SSU rRNA". It matches the Rfam family "Bacterial small subunit ribosomal RNA", at positions 355 to 896 of the family's 1533-position model. The record is from RNAcentral.
UAGGGAAUCUUCCGCAAUGGGCGAAAGCCUGACGGAGCAACGCCGCGUGAGUGAUGAAGGUCUUCGGAUCGUAAAACUCUGUUAUUAGGGAAGAACAAAUGUGUAAGUAACUAUGCACGUCUUGACGGUACCUAAUCAGAAAGCCACGGCUAACUACGUGCCAGCAGCCGCGGUAAUACGUAGGUGGCAAGCGUUAUCCGGAAUUAUUGGGCGUAAAGCGCGCGUAGGCGGUUUUUUAAGUCUGAUGUGAAAGCCCACGGCUCAACCGUGGAGGGUCAUUGGAAACUGGAAAACUUGAGUGCAGAAGAGGAAAGUGGAAUUCCAUGUGUAGCGGUGAAAUGCGCAGAGAUAUGGAGGAACACCAGUGGCGAAGGCGACUUUCUGGUCUGUAACUGACGCUGAUGUGCGAAAGCGUGGGGAUCAAACAGGAUUAGGUACCCUGGUAGUCCACGCCGUAACGAUGAGUGCUAAGUGUUAGGGGGUUUCCGCCCCUUAGUGCUGCAGCUAACGCAUUAAGCACUCCGCCUGGGGAGUACGACCGCAAGGUUG